GACCUGAUAGCACAAUGGUUAGUGCUUCUGCUUAACUUGCGUUGUUGUUGAAAUUUUCAACAGAGGAUCCCGUUUGAUUCGGGGUCAGGUCA
Non-coding RNA from Mycena metata, 92 nucleotides. NCBI's taxonomy places the organism in Eukaryota, Fungi, Basidiomycota, Agaricomycetes, Agaricales, Mycenaceae. The record is from the annotation of a GenBank genome assembly.